CAACGAGGGGCUCAUUUUAAAAUUUUGUCUCUGGGCCCACUCCAGCCUUGUUACACCCCUGACACUCAGCAUUGGCCAGAUAGUCAAAUAGUGCUAGGAAGGAGGAUGGACAUCUAAUGGAGCAUGUGAACUGGCACGAACGUCCUUCUAACUACAGACCAGAGAAUUGUUAGAGCAGCUGCAAAGAGGACUGACUGCUCAGGAUACAAUGCUGCACUCAGAUCUGCCACGGCCCUGUGUGGAAUCCCUACCUCCAGGUACCCUGUAUUAGCUGCUGCCAAUGAGUUCUCUACAUCCUUGCCAUAAGGUCAAUGUGAUAAUAGCAUUAUCACAUUGUGAACUUACCUGCUUCCAGGCAAUGGCAAGGAGCAAAGCUAAUCAGCUAAGAGUUCAUUAUUCAGAAAGAAGGAAAUGAAUCUCUACUAGGAUUAAAGGACUAGGACAAUCCAGGAUCUCUCAUUAGAAAAUGGGCAUGACAGAAAGACAUUGAAGCACAACAAUUUACAGAAAGAAGCUUCAUCCUCUUAACCCUUUGUGGUUAUUUUCCUUUGCUUAAAUAAAAUUAAAACUAGUUCCUAGUCACAGGACAACUAGUCAGAGUUGUUUAAGAUAAUCAUUUGCUGCUCUCCUUCCUCAACGUUGCUAGGGUCAGUUUCAGUUGGUUUCCCUUGAGGAAGUAGGCAAGGUUGCUUGAUAUGAUUUGGUCCAUAACUUAUGUGUGUCAGCCUUGCUCCUCUAAGUUUAUUAAAGCUUGCAGUAGAAGAUUUGUGCCUUGCAUUAUUUAUUGCCAUCAUCAAUGCCUCUUUGGUGGAAAGUUGCAUGCCCUUUGAUGGAGAUUGUAAUUUAGUCUCCAUUAAAAAAACACUUUAGGAUGCAGAGGACUAAAAUGAUUAUCUGCCCAUCUACAGCAUUCCAUUUGGGGGUAUAACACUGCUUUCUGGUUUUAUUCAAUUAUCUGUAUCUAGAAGGUGACAGACAAAUGUAACCCAGUUGAUUCUUCUGGCUUUUGAUACAGACCAUCAAAUCAACCUAAGACCAUCAAACCAACCUAAACUGGAUCAGCACUAGAGGCAAGUUAUUGUAAUCCUACUGUAUUAUCCCAGUACUACUGUAAUCCAACUGUAAUUCCAUUUCUGUCCAACAGUUGGUGUCAGAAGGUAGUACUUGAUGACUGUUUCCCCACUCCUUGGCAGUGUUGCAGGAUUCCAUCUUGUCCCCAAUAUUUUUCAACAUCUAUAUGAUGUUGAAAUGCAAGAGCCCCGCCGCACGUUAAGGUCAACUGAGGAGGUCCGUCUCCAGUUACCACCAGUUCGUCUGGACUCAUAGGCAGGCCUUCUCAGUAGUUGCUCCUGGGCUAUGGAAUGCACUCCCGACAGAAAUCCAUAAUUUG
This is a long non-coding RNA of Hemicordylus capensis (graceful crag lizard), 1390 nucleotides long. RefSeq lists it as uncharacterized. The transcript is spliced from 3 exons. Lineage: Eukaryota; Metazoa; Chordata; Lepidosauria; Squamata; Cordylidae. The record is from RefSeq and is a predicted model, not a curated record.